Long non-coding RNA from Dreissena polymorpha, 266 nucleotides. RefSeq lists it as uncharacterized. The record is from RefSeq and is a predicted model, not a curated record. The transcript has 3 exons. Lineage: Eukaryota; Metazoa; Mollusca; Bivalvia; Myida; Dreissenidae.
GAUGCGAAUGGUGAUUUGCUGCGUCAUGCUGGUGUUCCUGACGACAGCCGGUGUUGAUGCCACAAUAGGAAUAGGCUGCCCGUGCCCGUACAAUUACCAACCGGUCUGCGGAAUAAACGGCCGAACAUACCCAAACUAUUGUACUCUCAGAUGCGCUGGGGUGCCGAAGUUGAAAUGGGGCAAAUGCUGGGGACAAAAAGGAUAUUGAUGGAAUGCAAGCAGCUGUUUAUAUGAAGUGAUCUGCAUAAACCAUAUUUUUAAAACCA